Molecule: long non-coding RNA, 560 nt
Organism: Patiria miniata (bat star)
Lineage: Eukaryota; Metazoa; Echinodermata; Asteroidea; Valvatida; Asterinidae
Exons: 4
Source: RefSeq, a predicted model, not a curated record
AUUUUGACUUAACUUCGUGUCCUAAACAUUUCUGCAAAGUUUUAAGACCGGACAGUGUUUAAUUAAUUAGUUACGCUAAUUACAUAAGUGGCGAAUCCGUUGCCCUCUGGAAUUUGCGUUUUCACGAAGCGGCGAAUCCCUGAUUCGCCACUUUGUGAAAACGCGACGCGCACACAUUGCGUUUCCACGAAGUGGCGAAUAACCUUUAUCUCAGGGCUGCGUUGUUGUUGUCACGUCGUCACGUAUACAAAACUAUUUCGUUCUCACGGCUCAUCAUCAUGCGACGGGCUGUCCUGGUAAGUCGAUAUGUAAGCUUGACAUCUGCAGUUUCAGAAGUGUCAACAUCAGACUGUUUGGCGUGCCUUGAUGUGAAACAGCUGUUCUGGUUCAGCAUGAGUGAAAAAUGCUGCAUCUCUUCAGGAACAGAACUGUAAAACUGGGUACAGGUGUUUCUGAGGCGAUGCUGUGCACGAUGGACACGAUUCCAACAGAACCUUCUUCGUGUCCUUAUUUAGGCUCAUUGCUUGCACAAAAAACCCUUAACAGUUGGAAUGCAUGAG